Molecule: transfer RNA, 85 nt
Organism: Sphaerobolus stellatus SS14
Lineage: Eukaryota; Fungi; Basidiomycota; Agaricomycetes; Geastrales; Sphaerobolaceae
Rfam family: tRNA
About the family: Transfer RNA (tRNA) molecules are approximately 80 nucleotides in length. Their secondary structure includes four short double-helical elements and three loops (D, anti-codon, and T loops).
Source: Rfam
GGUUCGGUAGUUCAGUUGGUGGAACGUGUGCUUAACACUUCGCAGUGUCCGCACAAGGUCGUCGGUUCAAGCCCGGCCCGGAUCA